UACCAGCACCCCGAGUGGUCGGGACGAUUAUUGGGCCUAAAGCAUCCGUAGCCGGUUUUACAAGUCCUCCGUUAAAUCCAACUGCUUAACAGAUGGGUCGCGGAGGAUACUAUAAGACUAGGAGGCAGGAGAGGCAAGCGGUACUCAGUGGGUAGGGGUAAAAUCCGUUGAUCCAUUGAAGACCACCAGUGGCGAAGGCGGCUUGCCAGAAUGCGCUCGACGGUGAGGGAUGAAAGCUGGGGGAGCAAACCGG
Molecule: ribosomal RNA, 253 nt
Filed under: uncultured bacterium
Lineage: Bacteria
Description: partial 16S ribosomal RNA
Rfam family: Archaeal small subunit ribosomal RNA
Source: RNAcentral